RNAcentral lists this unclassified non-coding RNA (378 nucleotides) under plant metagenome. RNAcentral describes it as "partial contains 5.8S ribosomal RNA, internal transcribed spacer 2, and large subunit ribosomal RNA". The stretch from base 1 to 105 matches the Rfam family "5.8S ribosomal RNA", at positions 50 to 154 of the family's 154-position model. The record is from RNAcentral.
GAAAUGCGAUAAGUAAUGUGAAUUGCAGAAUUCAGUGAAUCAUCGAAUCUUUGAACGCACCUUGCGCUCCUUGGUAUUCCUUGGAGCAUGCCUGUUUGAGUAUCAUGAAAUCUUCAAAGUAAAUCUUUUGUUAACUCAAUUGGUUUCUACUUUGGUAUUGGAGGUCUUUGCAGCUUCACACCUGCUCCUCUUUGUUCAUUAGCUGGAUCUCAGUGUUAUGCUUGGUUCCACUCGGCGUGAUAAGUUAUCUAUCGCUGAGGACACUGUAAAAGGUGGCCAAGGUAAAUGCAGAUGAACCGCUUCUAAUAGUCCAUUGAAUUGGACAAUACUUUUAUGAUCUGAUCUCAAAUCAGGUAGGAAUACCCGCUAAACUUAAGC